GCUGCCUAGAUGAGGACAGAGUUCAGCAAAUGGAAAACACUGACAUUUUAUAAAAAUAGCAACAGCUGGUUUAAAAAUAGCAUCUGGUGAAAUAAAUGUGCUGUAACUUGUGAAACUCUCUUGGGAACAUUUCCCUUCUCAUCCAGUCCUCCCCUGUUCCCUAUUUCUUCUGUAAAGAGAAAUCCCAAGGCAGAUCCCUCUGUAGAAUGACAGACUAAAUCAGUACUUUGUACAUGGCAGAGAAUGAGUUUUGGCUAUUUUAAUUUAAUUUUAUUUUUAAUGUAUUUAUUUUUGAGACUCCGUGCCAGUGAGGGGGGCAAAUUCCCAUUUUGCUGAGCCUCAUGCCCAGGGAUUGGGAAAGUCAAAUUAGAAGUUUCCUUUUUUUUUCUUUCUUUCUUUAUUCAGUUUUACUGAGUUUAUCUUUGUUUUUUAAAGACCUUCUUUUGCUUUUAUCAAACCAGUUUUGAAUGUUCUUUUCCUGUUCCAACCUCCCCUGUACUGGCCACAAGCAGCCAGACAGAUGGAUUAUAAAUCUUCAACAGAUUUGCAGAUCUGUGAAUCUUAAGAGCAGCAGCUUCCCUUGUGGCUCCUCCAAAGGGAGGUUUUGAGGUGCAGUGGCGUUCUACUGUGUUUCCUACAGAUGAGAAGGUGCAGGCUCUUCUCCAGGAGACUUGUGUGAUGGCAAAAGGGAAGCCACUCAACUGUGCGAUAGAAAAAGGACGAAGAGACCUUGAAUAGCUCUUUUCUUUGGAGCAGGGGACUGACUUCUUUCCUGAGGGGAUUAGGGGAUCAAGGAAUGAGAUGGUUCCAGAAAAUGGAUCAGGGAAGGGGCAAGAGGAAGGUUAUGGGCAGGAUUCAGUUAAGGAAAGACAGGAGACUUAGGGAUAUUCUUGGCUCUGAUGAGCGUGGAAGGAUUUGCAGCUUUUUUGAAAUCUCUCGCAGCCCUGGUUGUAAACAUGGUGCUUGUUUUGACUGGACUAGAUAACUGAGGCAGAAAUAUUUAGAAAUCACAGACAGAUAGACCUGUUAUUGAAGCUGUUCUAGCUGACUGGGGGUUGAGAAAAGUGAAGUUUGUUUAGUUUAGAGAUUACAGUAACUUUCUUAAUUUUCUACCAAAACAUCUAGAGCAUUCAACCCCUUUUAAUAACCCAGGUGAAAGACAUUGGCGGAUCUGAAAGUGUAUUGUUUUGACUUUGGAGCAGCUCACUUCCUAAUCAAUCAUAUUGCCUCUUUAAAUUUAACAUGAGCAUGUUGUGCAAAGAUUAGGCACUGCCCCUUGUGGACUGAAGCUAUCAAGAGUGCAGUGAAAAUGGAAGGGAUGAGUUGGACCAAUGUCUACAUGAAACUUUUUACAGAUUUUCAGUUACCCACUGGGAUUCUCACUUAAUCACAUGAUUCCAGAAGCUGGGGCAUUAAGAGAAACACAAAACACUGAGACUUGCCAACGCUGCAAAGAGAAAUUGAGCCUGCAGAAAGAUUUGGGCUUAAUACUUGGACCUGUUCAGAACUGGUGGGAACUAGUCCACUCUUCUCUCUCUUUAUGGAUACAGCUGUUAUUCUGCCUCUCCAAUGAGGGUGACUUCCUGAAUUUCAAGGUAAUAAAGGCUAACCACUGGAAAAGUACAGGACAGAGUUCACUUUUUAAGGGGCAGCACCCUACAAUUUUUUCAGCCCCGCACAAAGAAUGUAUUCCUUGUUUAAAUAGCCUUCCUUAACUCCUUUUUUUAACUUGAAAAGCGGCUGCAGUACAAUAUAUAAUUUGUACUGUAUUACUUAGAGACCAACUUUUUCACAUGGGAAUUUGAACGGGGCCCCAAAUAGCAACAUAACUUAAAAUAUGGGCAUUGUGGAAAGGAAAAGAGGGGUGUCAGUCCCCCUCUCGCAACUAGCAUGGCUACGUAAUAUCCACCCGCUUCAUCAGAAGCAUUUCAUAGGGAGACGCAAUAAGGGAAAAAGAUCAAUAAAUUUUAAGGGCAGAAGGGACCGUCCAUUAUGAUCAUCUAGCUUGAUCUCCUGCAUAACACAACAUAACAGAAACUCGGUAAUUUCUGCAUCAAGCCCCGUGUUUGAGCUAUAGUGUAACUUUUAAAAGAUAUCCAAAGUCUUGAUUUUAAAAGUUCAAUUUGUAAUAAAUGCUUCAAAACGCAGACAGCAGCUUUGGAAAAUGUUCCAAAUACAUUAUGUUCUCUUCAAAAACAUUAGUUCUGUGAUGUUAUCGGCAUGCUAAUAAAAUGCCAUCUGAAGCUUCUUGGGAGGUUUUCUUACCACCUUGUUGGCAAAGGUCCUUUGUGUAUUGUAUUAACCUUUGCACAACAUUUUUCAAGAAAGUAAGGCUACGAAGAGCAUUUGGGGAAUGUGAAGUAGUGACGUUGCAAAGGAGAGACAUUGGAGUAGGAAGUGACUCUGUGAUAUUUAGUUUCUCUUGCUUCGCAGUAUUUAGAGGAAUCCCAAACAACAUUUUUAAUUUUCAGCAUAAAGCAGGACUCUUGUUAGGCAGGAUCUGUACCAGAACUGAUCAUUUUGAUUCCCGAACAACAUAUCUUAUGUUAGUGAUGUUUUUAUUUAUAAAAUUUAUUUAUUUAUUUUUAUUUCAUAGUUUAAAAUAUAUGGAUUCUUGCCUAAUUCACAAUAUUUUGGAAAAUCCAACUAGCGAUACAGCAGUAAUAGCCAGGAUUGACUGUCAGCCACCUUUUAGAUUUUCUUGAAGUUUUCUCCAUAAUAGCUAUAAUGUAGCUUGUUGUUUAAUUUCCUUUUCGGGAGAAAACCCAGAAAAGUUAUAGAAUUAUUUAAUGGAAAUAUUUAGGCAUAGAAAAGACAAAAAAAAUCUGAUAAUUUCAAAAAGGUUAAAUAAAUAAUUUAUUAAUGAGGUGAAUAGAGACAUUUAGGUACCUUAGGGAAAAGCUUAUUUUUAGCUAGAUGAGUGCAACUGCUUUCAUACAUAUACUAUGGAUGCUAGAAACAUACAUGAAAGAUCGCUCGUAGCUUUCUGCAUGUGCACAUCAGCUUCAUAUCUAAAAUCUCAGCUGUUCGGGUUCGGUUUUGUUUUAUUGGGGGAGAGCUUCAAAUCAACAGACCAUUUGCCAAGUUGCAUUUUCAGAAAGUUAAAAACAUGCCACCAUCUUAUUCGACGUGACCCAGCUACCUGAAAGGGCUUCACACUUACAAUCAGUUGCAGUAGUACAUUCAUUUCUGUCACAUAGAUCUAAAUAGAUGAAUUGGCCAUCUGCAAUUAAUUCGCAUUGUACAAAUAGUUUGAAAACUUAGCAGUCCAUAUUCAGGACAGAACAAUCUAUUUUUAGCUUUUCAAGCGAAUCAGUGAAAUUCUUUCAAUUUUUUUCCAGCUUAAUUAACACACAAGAAAUUUGUAAUCUGAGAAGGCAGCAGAAACAGAAAUCCCUGAAACCUAUGAAUAUGUGAGAUUUCUUCAAGUACAGCAAAGCAAUGACUGCUCCAUUGAAUUCAGCAAACCUCUCACACCUACAUCAACUUUCUGGGAGCACCGGUCAAUCAUGAGAAAGUCCCGAUUUAUCAAUAAUAGCCCAUUUAGAAUUUUUUGAAGACUGUAAUUUUAUUACCAGAAUUUAUUUGCUAGGAAGUAUUUAAAAUUAUUUAAGCCCAAUCAUAUAUUUGUGACUAUAUUUAUUUAUGCCACUGUUCUCAAUGUGUGUUAGGGAAUUCCUUUCCUGUAUUUCACUGUAGCUGUAUGGAAUCUACAGGAAUUUACUGUUCAUGCCUCUGCCUGCUUUCUGGUAAUGUGCCCUCUUUGUCAUAUGAUACCUUUCUUCACUUGUAUUAAAAAUGUUCAGCUCUUGUAAAUGUGACCUCCAGUCUUAUAGUCUGAAAUCUACAAUUCAGUUGUAAUGCCAGCCAUAAAGGGCCCACUUUUCAGGACUGUCUCACUUGCAUGUAUUGUUACCAUCACUGCAUGCAUUAUUGUGGCAAUUGUAUGACAAAUUAGGCAUGCAUUUUGGAGCCUAUAAUUGAACAUGUGUAAUUUUUGAAAAUAGAGGCCUAAAAUAAGGUGUGUUUUUUUUUAAUUUUGUUAAAAAUGUUUGUCACUGCAAAAGUUUUACAUGAAUGCAUCCUAUAUUUAAAAGGGUGUUAUAUAUAUAUAUAUAUAUAUAUAUACACACACACACACACACACCAUUAGAUUCUAAUGUCCUUAUUAUUUAGAAACAAUAAGAAUGUUAUAAAGUUGCCCAGAAGUGUAGAGAAAGUAAUAGCACAUUUCCAUCUGUGAUUAAAGAGGCAUGUGGCUAGUGAGUGGAAUGAAGUGUCAGAGAGUGUUGAAGAGAAAGGAGUGAAGUUGUGAACUAGUGUUUGCAGCUUAGUUUUCUGGAAUCUAGAAAUUUCUGGAAGGUGAGAAGGGUAUCCCAUACAAUGUUCUAUAGAAAUCUGUCUUGCUCAUCUUAACUUUUAAGUCUUCGUAGUGUUGGAUUUGCUUGGUAUUUUUCAUUCUAACUGUAGUAGACAUGAAAGCUGCUGAUCAGUGCUACAAACUGGAGUUGAAUGUUUUGCAAUUACCAAACAUCCGUGUAAAAAUGUAUCUGACUCUAUGGGCCUGAUUCUCAUUUGCACUGAAGUCUCUCUAUAAUGAAAACUAUACAUGCAUAAAGUUGAAAGAGGUGGUAGGAAACAAAUAUAUUUCUUCUGAAGUAAAAUGUAAAUAUUGUCAAGAAUGUAUAGACAGGAUUCAUGCUCAUCUCAAAAUGUGUGGUCCUGUCUGGCCAGCUCAGCACCAGUGCACUGGGCUUUUAGCACAUUAGGACUGAUUUGAUUUAACUUCAUAAGAAGUUAGGUGCUGAAAAAACAAAUAAGCUGGUUAAAGUGCAUGAGUAUCUAUAAGCAGAUACAUAAGAAUUGCAGGCCUAACUAAUUAAUGAGCUGGAAUUUGGUUACUGUGUUUGACUUACAGAAUUGCAAGUUUUUCAUUCUGGACAAUAGGUGUAUGCUCUUGUGUGUCUGAGGAAUAACUAUGCUUACAAAGCAAAUCACAUACUAGGUGUUUUGAGUUUCAUUUCAUAAAGGCUUUGUGAGGAUUUUUUCACUGAGUAUUUUCACUGCAUUAAAACAAAAAACAAUGGGCUUUUCAGUGGAAAUCACAGCCACCUUGCCACAGCAUGGCAAUCACUUUUUGUGCUUUGUUUGAGGAAGGGAAAAUUUCAUCCUUAAAGUAUAAUUAAGUACAAUAAUAAACAGGAAAUCGAUCCCAAAAGUCUGAUUCUCUUUGUUUUAAGAAAGUCUGUAUCUCUUGUGAGGAUAUUGAGUCUCUAAAACACCUAUUUAGUGUAACAGUUGCAAAAUAAGUAAGGUAGUCAGUCAUACCAUUGGCUUUUAUAGUCCAGCUGGUUACUUGCCAAUGUAAACAACAACUUAAAGGCUUAUUUUUACUAGAAUUUAUUUUCAUGUGCAUUUCAAAUAUAGUCUGAUGUGAACCAUUCCAAUGUAUCCCUAAUUGCCAAGAGGAAUAACUAUUUAACUACUUAUUGGAAUAAUGUUGUUGUUUAUCAAAGAAACUGACCCAAAUUGUCAUCUCUAAAGCUAGAAUAAACCUCCUCUUCUACUUUAUUCAUUUUCUUCUUCCAGGUUACUCUUAGAAAAGGAAAACAGAAUAUUUCCUUUUAUUUUUUUAAACACAGAGAUUAAAUCUAUUAUUCUUUUCUCUGAAUAGCCUUGCAGCCCAAUGUAUUGUCUGUUGUUGAGUCAGAUUACACACUGUACAGUAGUCAAGUCUUUAAACCAUUGCAUCAUUAAAUAACAGUAAGUACUUUAUUGCUGCUGAAUCACUUACGGGAAAGAUGGGUUUAUCACCUAUUUACAAGUGCAGCACAGGCCCAAAAUAUUUCGUACAUCUCCAUGUACAGCCUAACCUUCUAAUUGGACAAAUGAUUUAAAUGGAAUAGCUCUUUGCAACUGUUCUAACCCAGUGGGUUCUCAACCAGGGGUGGGCCCCCUCUGGGGCCGCAUACAGGUUUCAGGGGGUCCACCAGGCAGGGCCAGUGUUAGACUUGCUGGGGCCCAAGGCAGAAAGCUGAAGUUCCACCACAUGGGGCUGAAGCCUGGGACCCUGAGCCCUUCCACCUGCGACUGAAGUUGAUGCCUGAGCAACUUAGCUUCCUGGGGUCCCCUGUGGCAUGGGGCCCCAGGCAAAUGCCCUGCUUGCUACCCCCUAAUGCUGGUCCUGGCUUUUACAUGCAGAAAACUAGUUGUUGUGGCACAGAUAUUUUAUAGCAUGGGGGGAAGAGGGGCUCAGAAAGGAAAAGGUUGAGAUCCCCUGUUCUAACCUAUUCUGCUUGCAAAAUAUUAAAUAGAGGGAAAUACAGUAAAUAGUGCAGUAGGAUCUGUAAGCUCUUGCCUAGCCUCAGAGUUAAAAUUGAAAUUGCUCCAAUUUGUUUGGUUCUAGUUAAUAAAUAUUACUUCAGGAGGAAGGGAUAAAAAUGACUUGGAUAUAAAUUUUUGCAAAUAUUUCUAUGAAUUACAGAAGUCACUCUGCAAGCUGGGUAAUGUGGCCACAAAAGGCUCUAAAAGAGAGAGAGAGAGAGAGAGAGAGCGUCUCCAGUCAAAACUUGCAUCCAAGGACUGUUCAGCUAGAUUCAGAGUUUGACUAGGGCACAUCUGUUCCCAUAAGCAGUGGGAAAGUCUGUGUUGCUGCUUCAAAGGUGAAGGAAUCACAGAAGGGUUUCCACAUCCUUGCAUGUGCACUGUUGAUGUGCAGUUUGCAGGCAGGUGUUCCAAAGGGAAUUAGGGGAGCGUAGGCUUGUCAAACAGAAGUAGUGGGUUCAAGCAUAGCACACACCAGCAUGCUGAACCUCGGAACCCACAGCAGCCCUUUUACUCAGGCUUUGCUCUCUUUUGAAGGAUUUGAUCUAAUCUUUGUAAUAAUCAAGAUAAAAGGACGUGAUGUGCACACGGGCUGAGUAUUUGCAGCUUACACUGACUUUAACUGGAGUCCUGGCUGCUCAGCACUUCUGAAAAUCUGGUCCAUAGUUAUUAGCUAACAUACUGCCCAAUUCUGUUCACUGAGUUCAGCUGGAGCAGGACCGUUAUCCCUUUGUUCCUCACAGUGUUGUCAGAAAAGGAAGACAAACGUUCUGAAAGUACGGACUUCAGUCGGAGUUGUAUGCAUGUUGUUUUUGCAGGCCUUAAAAGAGGGAUACAUACUUUCGAAUCUUAAGAAGAUUCUAAUUUAGGACCUUGUUGCAAUCAUUAAAAUCUGCAGGCAAAUAACCUUUUGUGCUAAAAUAAAAAAUAAAAUUUCUUUGUCAUCAAGAAAUUUAAAAAGUUCUUCACUGUAUUUGCUAUGCUUUUGCAAAGCAAGUCAGACAGUAGAGGGAGCACAAGUUAACUAACAGCCACUAUUCCGAGAGCCAUGGAGUCAACAUUCAUGGCACCAUAAAUCAGGUUAGUAGAAAUCAAAUAAAGAAACAAACAAGUAAAAGCCAUGUUGGUUUGUGGUCUACAGGAAAUGGGGGUGGGGACUGCAGUUUGUCAAUGGAAAAUGGGUUAAACUAAACAACGGAGAGAGGCCUAAAAUGGCACCUUAAUAUGGAAUCUCUGCACAUUUCAAGGGAGAUUGUAUUUAAAUUCCUGGAUCAGAACCUGCCUCCCCAGAUUUGGGUCUGGGUUGGAUUCAAAACCAGAAAGGGACUAUUUUCUCUUUCUUGUUUGGAUGGAAGUGAUAUCUCAAUAGAAGACUUCAUGCAGUUUUGGUGCUAUAACCAUUGAAGCCAAAUGGGAAUAUUGGUCCUAAACUAGCCUGGAAUUGAAACCCCAGCGUUGACUCUUUACCCCAUUUCUGCUAAACAAUUGAUAACUGUACUGAAAAACAAACAAACAAAUAACCCCACACCCAAUUAAUUAUAGAAAGUAAUCGACCAUGUAUCUUUGACAAUAACACAAAAUCCUUAACAAUUGAUAUUUUUCACAAUGCAGAAGCCAGAAUAUAUUGAGAACAAUUGAACCUGUGCUGGUCUCUUUGGUUUUGAACAUACAGCAUCUCCAAGAUACAGUUUUCUUACACAAUGAGUCAAAUGUGAUUGUGUUUUUAAGUACCACGGUUGAACUUGGAUUUGUUGCUGAAAUGUAUGUUUUCUUGGGGAUCGUAUUCAUUACUGGGUUUGUUGCAGCUAGAGAAUGACAUUUACAUGACAAACUUUCUGAUAUAAAAGCCAAACUCAAUUGGCUAUAAACUUUAACAUGAAAAAUUCUAAGAAUCCAGGGUUAGAUGUUACAUUUAGAGAGAAUGUAGGACAGCAAUACGUGAAUCUGGUCGGCUCUCUUUAUCAGUUUUUUCAGUAAAAUGAUUUGAGUUUAAGUUAACUUCUUACUGCUUAAGAAGAUUAUAUGGUUCAUAGAAAAAUAAUUCAGACUGCUUAAUUUUUAAAGCUUUUCUAAUAAGAAAACUUCAAAGAGGUUCCUUUCAUGAUAGCAUUAAAGUAAAGCAGGUAAAGUGAAAUGUUCCGACACUGGAAUGUAGUUUGAAAAAAUAGAUUUUUUCUUUUUAACCAAAGAUGAAUCCAUAGAAAUAUUUGUACAAAUCUGUAUAAAAAAGAACAAAAUGUAUUUUAGUGACUAAACGCUUUAUUAAAGAUAAAUAUAAUAGUUGAUAGUGUGACCAUUUUGGAGAUAUGUCUGUAUUCAAUUGCAGAUUCCGUUUUGCCUUGUGAACACCAUUUUGUGAUUGUAACCUUUACUGCAGUCUUCACUGUGUGUUGCAAUGUCCAUGUUGGACUCAGAUAUGCAGUCUGUGCUGAAAACCAGUCUAAUCCUUUUAGUCAGUCUGUUCUAGAGACUGUGUAUUGGUGAUAAGGUGUGGGGCACCUCAAAGAGGACUAAUAAUGGCCCUUGCUAGCUCUCUCAUUUCAUUGACUGAUUCUUCCCUGUUGGAACAAUGAGUUCUCUACUAGUAAGGCCAUUGACUUUGAAUGGCUCUCAGUGACUAACCCAGUUCCUUGGGACAAAAGACACAGAAGCAGCGGGGGAGGAGAGAUAGGGCUGGAGCGAGGAACUCCUGGACAGAAUGGGAGGGAGAUGGUUUUAAAAGAAAGGUUCCAUGAGGUUUCUAAGGAAGGGACUAAAUUUCUGUCACCACUUGUAAGCAGAACUUGCUGAAGAGAGUGAGGACAGGAGAGACUCUCCCUUGCUUAAAGAUGCUGGCCAGAACCAGGACUUGCAGACAGAGUGAGAUCAGACUAGGGGAGGUUGAAUUCAUAGAUCUGUAAUUCUACUGUGCUUUUUUAAGAGUAAAAUGUGUGUAGUUAGGAAGUCCUUUGCUAAGUUUGUGUUCUUGCUUUACUCUCCCAUUGGCCCUGAUAGGUAUAUCUACAUUUAUUUAUUUAUCUCAUAGAAUUGGAAGGGACCCCGAAAGGUCAUUGAGUCCAGCCCCCUGCCUUCACUAGCAGGACCAAGUAUUGAUUUUUCCCCAGAUCCCUAAGUGGCCCCCUCAAUGAUUGAACUCACAACCCUGGGUUUAGCAGGCCAAUGCUCAAACCACUGAGCUAUCCCUCCUAGAAAACCAGACCUCCCACAGCCAGGUGGACUCUUAUUUUCUUACAUACAUAUUAAGAGCUGGUAACAACCGUAAAUGGUAAAAGAAUACAGAAGAGUUGAGGCAUUAUAGGUUAUGAAUUACAGUAGGCAUAUAUUGUUUCUGUAACAAUUAUAUGGGGGGGGGAGGUUCUGUAUCAGAUCAUCUCAUUUGCCCCAUAUUUCCUCAUAUAGUUCAGUAGUUAAUCUAAAAAGGAUCAGAGCAAAAGAUUUGUUUUAGAAUGGGUUAAGGGUGUAGAGUGUAGGAGCAGCAUAAUAAUUUAAUUCUAUUUUAGGAUCAUAGCUAUGCUGACCGAAUGUAUGUUCAGUCAGUGUAGCCUUCCCCACCUCCCCACCAAAAAAUUAUGAGGUAAAUUAUAGCCAUCAGGCUUCAAUAUAUCUACU
Chrysemys picta bellii (western painted turtle) is the source of this 9933-nucleotide non-coding RNA. The record is from RefSeq and is a predicted model, not a curated record. Lineage: Eukaryota; Metazoa; Chordata; Testudines; Emydidae.